Molecule: microRNA precursor, 44 nt
Filed under: Xenopus laevis (African clawed frog)
Lineage: Eukaryota; Metazoa; Chordata; Amphibia; Anura; Pipidae
Description: miRNA-126
Source: RNAcentral
GGCUGUGCAUUAUUACUUUUGGUACGCGCUGUGUCACAUCAAAC